This 72-nucleotide transfer RNA is filed under the name Bacteriophage sp. RNAcentral's name for it is "tRNA-Gln". It matches the Rfam family "tRNA". From Rfam's summary of the family: Transfer RNA (tRNA) molecules are approximately 80 nucleotides in length. The record is from RNAcentral.
AGCGAAUUGGUGUAAUGGUUAGCAAGCAGAGCUUUGACCUCUGAGGUAAGAGUUCGAUUCUCUUAUUCGCUG